This 253-nucleotide ribosomal RNA is filed under the name uncultured bacterium. RNAcentral's name for it is "partial 16S ribosomal RNA". It matches the Rfam family "Bacterial small subunit ribosomal RNA", at positions 524 to 776 of the family's 1533-position model. The record is from RNAcentral.
UACGGAGGAUCCAAGCGUUAUCCGGAAUUAUUGGGUUUAAAGGGUGCGUAGGCUGGAACCUAAGUCAGUGGUGAAAAGCUAUGGCUUAACUAUAGUCGUGCCAUUGAUACUGGGUUUCUUGAAUUAGGUUGGCGUUUGCGGAAUGUGUCAUGUAGCGGUGAAAUGCAUAGAUAUGCCACAGAACUCCGAUAGCGAAGGCAGCAAGCGAAACCUUGAUUGACGCUGAUGCACGAAAGCGUGGGUAGCGAACAGG